This 72-nucleotide transfer RNA is filed under the name Heteropteryx dilatata (New Guinea walking stick). RNAcentral's name for it is "tRNA-Met". Lineage: Eukaryota; Metazoa; Arthropoda; Insecta; Phasmatodea; Heteropterygidae. The record is from RNAcentral.
AGAAAAAUAAGCUAAACAUUUUUAAGCUAAUGGGUUCAUACCUCAUUUAUGGAAUUUUAUAUCCUUUUUCUA